Molecule: ribosomal RNA, 700 nt
Filed under: Chryseobacterium carnipullorum
Lineage: Bacteria; Pseudomonadati; Bacteroidota; Flavobacteriia; Flavobacteriales; Weeksellaceae
Description: bacterial SSU rRNA
Rfam family: Bacterial small subunit ribosomal RNA
Source: RNAcentral
AGCGGUAGGUUUCCUUCGGGAAACUGAGAGCGGCGCACGGGUGCGGAACACGUGUGCAACCUGCCUUUAUCAGGGGGAUAGCCUUUCGAAAGGAAGAUUAAUACCCCAUAAUAUAUCAGAUGGCAUCAUUUGAUAUUGAAAACUACGGUGGAUAAAGAUGGGCACGCGCAGGAUUAGAUAGUUGGUAGGGUAACGGCCUACCAAGUCAACGAUCCUUAGGGGGCCUGAGAGGGUGAUCCCCCACACUGGUACUGAGACACGGACCAGACUCCUACGGGAGGCAGCAGUGAGGAAUAUUGGACAAUGGGUGAGAGCCUGAUCCAGCCAUCCCGCGUGAAGGACGACGGCCCUAUGGGUUGUAAACUUCUUUUGUAUAGGGAUAAACCUACUCUCGUGAGAGUAGCUGAAGGUACUAUACGAAUAAGCACCGGCUAACUCCGUGCCAGCAGCCGCGGUAAUACGGAGGGUGCAAGCGUUAUCCGGAUUUAUUGGGUUUAAAGGGUCCGUAGGCUGAUUUGUAAGUCAGUGGUGAAAUCUCACAGCUCAACUGUGAAACUGCCAUUGAUACUGCAAGUCUUGAGUGUUGUUGAAGUAGCUGGAAUAAGUAGUGUAGCGGUGAAAUGCAUAGAUAUUACUUAGAACACCAAUUGCGAAGGCAGGUUACUAAGCAACAACUGACGCUGAUGGACGAAAGCGUGGG